Zea mays is the source of this 139-nucleotide non-coding RNA. The record is from Rfam. NCBI's taxonomy places the organism in Eukaryota, Viridiplantae, Streptophyta, Magnoliopsida, Poales, Poaceae.
GUUAUCUCUGAUGAUGAACUGGUGUCCUACAUCUUGUCGGGCCUUGAAGAAAAUUACAAUCCGGUGGUCUCGGCGGUUCUAGCCCGUGAAGAACCAGUAACGCCUGGGGCCCUGUAUGCUCAGCUUUUGAGCCAUGAAU